GGGUCAUUAGGUUGGUCGUGCCACCGGUACGUACUGGUCUCACUGAUUCCUCCUUCCUGAAGAACCGUAAUGCCAUUAAUUUGGUGUUGCGGGGAAACAGGACUGUUACUUUGAAAAAAUUAGAGUGUUUAAAGCAAGCUAACGAUUGAAUACAUUAGCAUGGAAUAAUGAAAUAGGACGAUCGAUCCUAUUUUGUUGGUUUCUAGGAUUGACGUA
This 216-nucleotide ribosomal RNA is filed under the name Glomeromycotina sp. RNAcentral's name for it is "partial small subunit ribosomal RNA". The stretch from base 40 to 216 matches the Rfam family "Eukaryotic small subunit ribosomal RNA", at positions 686 to 864 of the family's 1831-position model. The record is from RNAcentral. Lineage: Eukaryota; Fungi; Glomeromycota.